AGAGUUUGAUUCUGGCUCAGAUUGAACGCUGGCGGAAUGCUUUACACAUGCAAGUCGAACGGCAGCACGGGAGCUUGCUCCUGGUGGCGAGUGGCGAACGGGUGAGUAAUGCGUCGGAACGUACCGAGUAAUGGGGGAUAACGCAGCGAAAGCUGUGCUAAUACCGCAUACGCCCUGAGGGGGAAAGUGGGGGAUCGCAAGACCUCACGUUAUUCGAGCGGCCGACGUCUGAUUAGCUAGUUGGUGGGGUAAAGGCUCACCAAGGCGACGAUCAGUAGCGGGUCUGAGAGGAUGAUCCGUCACACUGGAACUGAGACACGGUCCAGACUCCUACGGGAGGCAGCAGUGGGGAAUUUUGGACAAUGGGGGCAACCCUGAUCCAGCCAUUCCGCGUGAGUGAAGAAGGCCUUCGGGUUGUAAAGCUCUUUCAGCCGGAACGAAACGGUACGCACUAAUAUUGUGUGCUAAUGACGGUACCGGCAGAAGAAGCACCGGCUAACUACGUGCCAGCAGCCGCGGUAAUACGUAGGGUGCGAGCGUUAAUCGGAAUUACUGGGCGUAAAGCGUGCGCAGGCGGAUUGUUAAGCAAGAUGUGAAAUCCCCGGGCUUAACCUGGGAAUGGCAUUUUGAACUGGCAGUCUAGAGUGUGUCAGAGGGGGGGUGGAAUUCCACGUGUAGCAGUGAAAUGCGUAGAUAUGUGGAGGAACACCAAUGGCGAAGGCAGCCCCCUGGGAUAACACUGACGCUCAUGUACGAAAGCGUGGGUAGCAAACAGGAUUAGAUACCCUGGUAGUCCACGCCCUAAACGAUGUCAACUGGUUGUUGGGGGGAGUGAAAUCCCUUAGUAACGAAGCUAACGCGUGAAGUUGACCGCCUGGGGAGUACGGUCGCAAGAUUAAAACUCAAAGGAAUUGACGG
This 918-nucleotide ribosomal RNA is filed under the name uncultured bacterium. RNAcentral describes it as "bacterial SSU rRNA". It matches the Rfam family "Bacterial small subunit ribosomal RNA", at positions 8 to 916 of the family's 1533-position model. The record is from RNAcentral.